GCACAGAUGAUGUGAGUAUUUUAGUAUGAGAAACCGUGAUACUGUAAACGCUUUCUGAUGUG
Molecule: small nucleolar RNA, 62 nt
Filed under: Sphenodon punctatus (tuatara)
Lineage: Eukaryota; Metazoa; Chordata; Lepidosauria; Sphenodontia; Sphenodontidae
Description: Small nucleolar RNA Z39 (ENSSPUG00000003268.1)
Rfam family: Small nucleolar RNA Z39
About the family: Z39 is a member of the C/D class of snoRNA which contain the C (UGAUGA) and D (CUGA) box motifs. Most of the members of the box C/D family function in directing site-specific 2'-O-methylation of substrate RNAs.
Source: Rfam by way of RNAcentral